CGCUCUACCGUUCCGAGCUUACGAACGAAACUUAUAUAACUUACGCGAGUGUUAAAUUAAUAAUGUUAUUAUAAAAAAUAUUAAGUAUGCCUUAAGGAUUGGUCUAUUGAUGGUUUCAUAAAACUAACGUGCACCAGGAGACGAGUUACCUAUGUCUCCCUGCGGCGUGUGUAUCUUCAUGACAAUAAUAAGCAGUGCAUGGUCAGAUAGCACGAGCGAGACGCGCCUUGGGCCCGUUUUUACCACAGAACCUCCGAGCGUUGUGC
Pieris rapae (cabbage white) is the source of this 266-nucleotide long non-coding RNA. RefSeq lists it as uncharacterized. The record is from RefSeq and is a predicted model, not a curated record. The transcript has 3 exons. Lineage: Eukaryota; Metazoa; Arthropoda; Insecta; Lepidoptera; Pieridae.